Juglans microcarpa x Juglans regia is the source of this 295-nucleotide long non-coding RNA. RefSeq lists it as uncharacterized. The transcript has 2 exons. The record is from RefSeq and is a predicted model, not a curated record. NCBI's taxonomy places the organism in Eukaryota, Viridiplantae, Streptophyta, Magnoliopsida, Fagales, Juglandaceae.
CCUCACGGCACUAGGUCAGCUAUCUGCAGCAUAAUUUGAAUGGGGAACGUUGACUUCUAACUCUUUGACUGUUGCUGGUAAAGUCUUUGUUGAGCUACCUUUUCUUAAAAUUUUAUCCAUCCCAUACAUGAAUAAGAGGAACCGGGAUUGUGUUGGUUUCGAUGUUCAUAUUGAGGGAAUACUUUCUCAUGAUAACUUCAUAUUUCAAACUCACUGUUUUGAAAACACUUGAAAAAGCUUAUUUAAAAGCGGUAGAAUUAAAAUUGCAAACAAAGUACAACUACUGUUUAUUACA